UGCAAGCCCCAAAGUCAACCAGACCAGGGUAUAAAACGAAUGUCGGAACUUAAAUAGACAUCAUUUCAGCGUACAUGAAGGUUUAGAGGGGUGACAACGAAUUCAAGAAUAGCCGCACAAUGAAGGUCACAGUUUCCGCCUCUGUUCUGGCGUUUGCGUGUCUGGUCUGCUCGGUGACGUCACGAUACACUAGCAGCAUCGGCAGCUCGUUUUGGAGGCGGGCUGAGUCGAACUUACCUGUCAAGGGAAGCUGGCCUCAGAGGGAUUUAACUUCCUGGCAGACAGACAGAAGGUACUUACGUGUCGUAAUUGUGUUACAAGUGCUAUACAAAUCUAACUAAAACAA
Long non-coding RNA from Aplysia californica (California sea hare), 346 nucleotides. RefSeq lists it as uncharacterized. NCBI's taxonomy places the organism in Eukaryota, Metazoa, Mollusca, Gastropoda, Aplysiida, Aplysiidae. The transcript has 3 exons. The record is from RefSeq and is a predicted model, not a curated record.